This is a non-coding RNA of Mizuhopecten yessoensis (Yesso scallop), 74 nucleotides long. The record is from the annotation of a RefSeq genome assembly. Lineage: Eukaryota; Metazoa; Mollusca; Bivalvia; Pectinida; Pectinidae.
GACCAGGUAGCUCAAUUGGUUAGAGCGUCCGUCUAAAGACCGGAGGGUCCCGGGUUUGAACCCCGGUCUUGCUG